This is a long non-coding RNA of Ananas comosus (pineapple), 484 nucleotides long. RefSeq lists it as uncharacterized. Lineage: Eukaryota; Viridiplantae; Streptophyta; Magnoliopsida; Poales; Bromeliaceae. The record is from RefSeq and is a predicted model, not a curated record. The transcript has 4 exons.
UCAAAUUGAUGCAAUUUUGUACGUUGACUUCGCAGCAGGUCUUCGAGCCUCGUUGAGCUGAACGUGUACUUGUUGAAGCUGGUUUGGAAGUUGUUCUACCCUAAGCAAGAAGGUGUUUGACCCUUGGACCGCCUUCGUUUGGCCUUGGAGGGCCUUCUGGAAGCUUAACGUGAGCAGGAUUGCGACCUAGUGGAGCUGAACUUUGGAACUCCUUGGACUGUUUUGGAGCCUAGUACUAGAGCCAUCUACAGGAGAGGCUAGGGAUCGUGGCAAGGGAGUCGCGCCUAGCUAGGGACUACUAGGAGCGUGCUAGUCGAUCACCUUGUUGCUCGGGCUACGGCCGAGGGUGAUGUCCCUAUGUAUAGAGAAACCACCUUUGUAUCUAUCCUAUUUUUGUAUCCUCGUGAUGUAUAUGUACUACUUGGACCGUGAACUACAGUUGUGAUACUUCUCUUUUGUCGAGAUUUUGGGAUUGUACACUCUU